Molecule: unclassified non-coding RNA, 344 nt
Filed under: Ceriporiopsis sp.
Lineage: Eukaryota; Fungi; Basidiomycota; Agaricomycetes; Polyporales; Meruliaceae
Description: partial contains 5.8S ribosomal RNA, internal transcribed spacer 2, and large subunit ribosomal RNA
Source: RNAcentral
AACGCACCUUGCGCCCCUUGGUAUUCCGAGGGGCACACCCGUUUGAGUGUCGUGAAUAUCUCAACCUUCUCGGUUUCUUCUGGAUGCCGAAGGAGGCUUGGACUUUGGAGGCCUUUGCUGGCGUCUCGUCAGCUCCUCUCAAAUGAAUUAGCAGGGUCCUCUUUGCCGAUCCUUGACAUGUGAUAAGAUGUUUCCGUGUCUUGGCUUCUGGCUCUGUCGCUUUUGGGAUCCGCUUCUAACCGUCUCAACGAGACAACGUCCGAGCGUGUCUCCCUUCUCGGGAAACACUCUCGAACCCACGAACCCUUGACCUCAAAUCGGGUGAGACUACCCGCUGAACUUAA